Non-coding RNA from Astyanax mexicanus (Mexican tetra), 652 nucleotides. The record is from the annotation of a RefSeq genome assembly. NCBI's taxonomy places the organism in Eukaryota, Metazoa, Chordata, Actinopteri, Characiformes, Acestrorhamphidae.
AGUCAGUGUGUUCUUCUCCCAGUGUGUGCUACACCACCAUGAUCAUUUUCACUGUACUGCUGCUCUCUGCUCUUACAGGUAACAGAGCUGAAGACGUCAUCACUCCUAGCAGAGACGCUGUUUUUGCUGUUGAAGGUCAGAAUGUUACCCUCUCCUGUAACUACACUGUAAGUGCUGACAGUCUUCACUGGUACCGACAGUAUUCAGGAUCAUCUCCUCAGUUCCUCAUACUGGACUAUGCAGGGGUCAUUACUGAAGCUCAACCUCCAGUUCCUAGAAUAUCCAUCAACCAUCAAAAAGAAAAGAGGAAAGUGGAUCUGAUCAUCUCCUCUACUGCAGUAUCAGACUCUGCUCUCUACUACUGCGCUCUGAAGCCCACAGUGACAGAAACCCACCAAACACUGUACUAAAACUUUACUUGUGAAAUAUGUAGAAACACUUAUAUUUCAGGAGGGGGCGCUGUUUCUCUUCUGCUUCUUUAUCUUCAGCUUCCUCACCAUUCAGGUUAGAACAUCAGUCUGCUUUGGAACAUCAGUCAUCAUGUUGUGACCUACAGUAAAGUGGAACUCUCUAUAACCCUUUAUAAAUGUUUACAGAUACUUCUGUAGAAUAUGUAAUGUCAUAUUCUUUGCACAAACAUUUAUCUCUCAUU